UUCUUGUAAUUCAAAGGUGUUAUAGAAAUAGAAGAAAAUUAUAAAAUUAAGCAGUUGUUUUUCUUCUGUGUUUCUGCUCCCACAGUUCUUUCUCUGGAUGUGAAUAGCUGAACAACAUUUCUGAGUGCCAUCUCAGAGUUGGAGUCAGGAAGAGAGAACUUAUAAAUUAUAACUUCCAUUGAUGAAAAAGUGGAUUGUCAACUGGAUUUGGAAGGAAGGCCUGAGUUCAAAUUCCAUCUCUGAAGACUCCUGCCUUUAAACCUAAUCACAUUAAUUCAGUUCUCUUUCUCCUACUUCUAUUGAUAAGAUUCUAAAUUCGUGAGCAUGUUUUUAUCAGCCUUGGUAAAGAGUUUCCUCACAGGAAGCUUCCUAUAUUAAUGAAAACAUAAUACUCGUCAAAAAUCAAAAGUUAUGGACCUCAAUUGGUUGGGACAGUGCAGCAUUACAGAGAAGAGAAAAUAAUAAAAGAAGAGAAAAUGAUAAAAUGAUAAAAAAAAAAACCUUGCUUGGUAAGUUUAGAAUUUACACUGAACAAAACCACUCAAAUUAAGGAGUUAAUAAGAUCAGUG
RNAcentral lists this long non-coding RNA (569 nucleotides) under Monodelphis domestica (gray short-tailed opossum). Its description in RNAcentral is "lncRNA (ENSMODG00000048494.1)". Lineage: Eukaryota; Metazoa; Chordata; Mammalia; Didelphimorphia; Didelphidae. The record is from RNAcentral.